AGUCGAACGAGAGGACAAGAGAAGCUUGCUUCUUUUGGAAUCGAGUGGCAAACGGGUGAGUAACACGUAAACAACCUGCCUUCAGGAUGGGGACAACAGACGGAAACGACUGCUAAUACCGAAUACGCUUGGAAGACCGCAUGAUCUUCCAAGGAAAGGGUGGCCUCUACCUGUAAGCUAUCGCCUGAAGAGGGGUUUGCGUCUGAUUAGGCAGUUGGUGAGGUAACGGCCCACCAAACCUACGAUCAGUAGCCGGUCUGAGAGGAUGAACGGCCACACUGGAACUGAGACACGGUCCAGACUCCUACGGGAGGCAGCAGUGGGGAAUCUUCCGCAAUGGGCGAAAGCCUGACGGAGCAACGCCGCGUGAGUGAUGACGGCCUUCGGGUUGUAAAGCUCUGUGAUCGGGGACGAACGGUCCGUAAGCUAAUACCUUAUGGAAGUGGCGGUACCCGAAUAGCAAGCCACGGCUAACUACGUGCCAGCAGCCGCGGUAAUACGUAGGUGGCAAGCGUUGUCCGGAAUUAUUGGGCGUAAAGCGCGCGCAGGCGGCUUUCUAAGUCCAUCUUAAAAGUGCGGGGCUUAACCCCGUGAUGGGAUGGAAACUGGAAAGCUGGAGUAUCGGAGAGGAAAGUGGAAUUCCUAGUGUAGCGGUGAAAUGCGUAGAGAUUAGGAAGAACACCGGUGG
RNAcentral lists this ribosomal RNA (688 nucleotides) under uncultured bacterium. RNAcentral's name for it is "bacterial SSU rRNA". It matches the Rfam family "Bacterial small subunit ribosomal RNA", at positions 60 to 715 of the family's 1533-position model. The record is from RNAcentral.